CCAGCGGGUGUUUAAUGCAGAUAACAUAACACGGCCGAUUCGUCAGUGUUUUUAAAGGGGACAGCUAAGUGGACGGCGUGGGAGAAGAAGGAAAGAGAAACCAGAAGAAAGCAGCACCGUUUUAUAACGUCUUUACGGUGUGUUAGCGUUAACAAUGCUGACGUCAAGCUAGCUGCCCUACCCAAUGACAGCUGGAGCAGUGGGCCACUACAACACGAUGCCAGGGUAUUAAUUUCACUUCUAAGGCCAGCAUUUCACUUCCAGGUCUGAGGCUAAAGCGCCUCAGCCUUUUUAACUGGGAUAAUUUGACAGCAGCCCCCUGCCUUCCUCUGACAGCUUUGAGGAGCUGGGGCUCAGCACCUGCGUCCACCCAAGCAUUAAACCUCAGAUCUUGAACUCUCCUCACAAAUGAACUGUCAGAUCAUUACUGCGCGUGAUGCAAUAUAAUCUGUCUCAGAAUUAGCAUUUGGCCAAGUCCACACAGGGUUUUUUUUCCUUCCGUGCCUCUCUACGUACAUCAA
This is a long non-coding RNA of Mugil cephalus (flathead mullet), 521 nucleotides long. RefSeq lists it as uncharacterized. The record is from RefSeq and is a predicted model, not a curated record. NCBI's taxonomy places the organism in Eukaryota, Metazoa, Chordata, Actinopteri, Mugiliformes, Mugilidae. The transcript is spliced from 3 exons.